GAUGAACGCUGGCGGCGUGCCUAAUACAUGCAAGUCGAGCGAACGGACGAGAAGCUUGCUUCUCUGAUGUUAGCGGCGGACGGGUGAGUAACACGUGGAUAACCUACCUAUAAGACUGGGAUAACUUCGGGAAACCGGAGCUAAUACCGGAUGAUAUUUUGAACCGCAUGGUUCAAAAGUGGAAGACGGUCUUGCUGUCACUUAUAGAUGGAUCCGCGCUGCAUUAGCUAGUUGGUAAGGUAACGGCUUACCAAGGCAACGAUGCAUAGCCGACCUGAGAGGGGGAUCGGCCACACUGGAACUGAGACACGGUCCAGACUCCUACGGGAGGCAGCAGUAGGGAAUCUUGCGCAAUGGGCGAAAGCCUGACGGAGCAACGCCGCGUGAGUGAUGAAGGUCUUCGGAUCGUAAAACUCUGUUAUUAGGGAAGAACAUAUGUGUAAGUAACUGUGCACAUCUUGACGGUACCUAAUCAGAAAGCCACGGCUAACUACGUG
RNAcentral lists this ribosomal RNA (497 nucleotides) under uncultured bacterium. RNAcentral describes it as "partial 16S ribosomal RNA". It matches the Rfam family "Bacterial small subunit ribosomal RNA", at positions 28 to 507 of the family's 1533-position model. The record is from RNAcentral.